AUCCUUUGGUUCAUGAGCGUGAUGACUGGGUGUUUAUACCUUAUGCGUGAGAUGUGCCUUCCUUCAAACCUUGUUACGAUGUGGGCACAUUACCCGUCUAACG
Molecule: small nucleolar RNA, 103 nt
Organism: Octodon degus (degu)
Lineage: Eukaryota; Metazoa; Chordata; Mammalia; Rodentia; Octodontidae
Product: small nucleolar RNA U13
Exons: 1
Source: RefSeq, a predicted model, not a curated record